GGUGAACGCUGGCGGUAGGCCUAACACAUGCAAGUCGAACGGCAGCACAGGAGAGCUUGCUCUCUGGGUGGCGAGUGGCGGACGGGUGAGGAAUACAUCGGAAUCUACUCUGUCGUGGGGGAUAACGUAGGGAAACUUACGCUAAUACCGCAUACGACCUACGGGUGAAAGCAGGGGACCUUCGGGCCUUGCGCGAUUAAAUGAGCCGAUGUCGGAUUAGCUAGUUGGCGGGGUAAAGGCCCACCAAGGCGACGAUCCGUAGCUGGUCUGCGAGGAUGAUCAGCCACACUGGAACUGAGACACGGUCCAGACUCCUACGGGAGGCAGCAGUGGGGAAUAUUGGACAAUGGGCGCAAGCCUGAUCCAGCCAUACCGCGUGGGUGAAGAAGGCCUUCGGGUUGUAAAGCCCUUUUGUUGGGAAAGAAAUCCAGCUGGCUAAUACCCGGUUGGGAUGACGGUACCCAAAGAAUAAGCACCGGCUAACUUCGUGCCAGCCGCCGCCGUAA
Molecule: ribosomal RNA, 506 nt
Filed under: uncultured bacterium
Lineage: Bacteria
Description: partial 16S ribosomal RNA
Rfam family: Bacterial small subunit ribosomal RNA
Source: RNAcentral